Molecule: ribosomal RNA, 460 nt
Filed under: uncultured bacterium
Lineage: Bacteria
Description: partial 16S ribosomal RNA
Rfam family: Bacterial small subunit ribosomal RNA
Source: RNAcentral
CCUACGGGAGGCAGCAGUGAGGAAUAUUGGUCAAUGGACGAGAGUCUGAACCAGCCAAGUAGCGUGAAGGAUGACUGCCCUAUGGGUUGUAAACUUCUUUUAUAUGGGAAUAAAACGUUCCACGUGUGGGAUUUUGUAUGUAACAUAUGAAUAAGGAUCGGCUAACUCCGUGCCAGCAGCCGCGGUAAUACGGAGGAUCCGAGCGUUAUCCGGAUUUAUUGGGUUUAAAGGGAGCGUAGGUGGAUUGUUAAGUCAGUUGUGAAAGUUUGCGGCUCAACCGUAAAAUUGCAGUUGAAACUGGCAGUCUUGAGUACAGUAGAGGUGUGCGGAAUUCGUGGUGUAGCGGUGAAAUGCUUAGAUAUCACGAAGAACUCCGAUUGCGAAGGCAGUUCACUGGACUGCAACUGACACUGAGGCUCGAAAGUGUGGGUAUCAAACAGGAUUAGAUACCCCGGUAGUC